UACAGAGGGUGCGAGCGUUGUCCGGAAUCACUGGGCGUAAAGGGCGCGUAGGCGGCUUGAUAAGGUUGCGGUGAAAGCCCAGGGCUCAACCCCGGGUCGGCCGUGGCAACUGUCGAGCUGGAGCACUGUAGAGGCAGGUGGAAUUCCGGGUGUAGCGGUGGAAUGCGUAGAGAUCCGGAAGAACACCGGUGGCGAAGGCGGCCUGCUGGGCAGUGGCUGACGCUGAGGCGCGACAGCGUGGGGAGCAAACAGG
Molecule: ribosomal RNA, 253 nt
Filed under: uncultured bacterium
Lineage: Bacteria
Description: partial 16S ribosomal RNA
Rfam family: Bacterial small subunit ribosomal RNA
Source: RNAcentral